GACGAACGCUGGCGGCGUGCUUAACACAUGCGAGUCGAACGGAAAGGCCCUGCUUUUGUGGGGUGCUCGAGUGGCGAACGGGUGAGUAACACGUGAGUAACCUGCCCUUGACUUUGGGAUAACUUCAGGAAACUGGGGCUAAUACAGUAUAGGAUCUCCUGCUGCAUGGUGGGGGUUGGAUAGUUUCGGCGGGCGGGGAUGGACUCGCGGCUUAUCGGCUUGUUGGUGGGGUAGUGGCUUACCAAGGCUUUGACGGGUAGCCGGCCUGAGAGGGUGACCGGCCACAUUGGGACUACGAGACGGCCCAGACUCCUACGGGAGGCAGCAGUGGGGAAUAUUGCACAAUGGGCGGAAGCCUGAUGCAGCAACGCCGCGUGCGGGAUGACGGCCUUCGGGUUGUAAACCGCUUUCGCCUGUGACGAAGCGUGAGUGACGGUAAUGGGUAAAGAAGCACCGGCUAACUACGUG
Molecule: ribosomal RNA, 468 nt
Filed under: uncultured bacterium
Lineage: Bacteria
Description: partial 16S ribosomal RNA
Rfam family: Bacterial small subunit ribosomal RNA
Source: RNAcentral